Lyophyllum atratum is the source of this 88-nucleotide non-coding RNA. NCBI's taxonomy places the organism in Eukaryota, Fungi, Basidiomycota, Agaricomycetes, Agaricales, Lyophyllaceae. The record is from the annotation of a GenBank genome assembly.
GACCGGAUAGCGUAUCGGUAACACAUCUGCCGGUACAGAGGGGCCUGACGUGUUGCAGACGAGCCCUGUUCGACUCUGGGUCUGGUCA